Molecule: transfer RNA, 70 nt
Filed under: Dipodomys ordii (Ord's kangaroo rat)
Lineage: Eukaryota; Metazoa; Chordata; Mammalia; Rodentia; Heteromyidae
Rfam family: tRNA
About the family: Transfer RNA (tRNA) molecules are approximately 80 nucleotides in length. Their secondary structure includes four short double-helical elements and three loops (D, anti-codon, and T loops).
Source: Rfam by way of RNAcentral
GGGGUUGUGGCUUAGUGGUAGAGUACUUGCCUAGCAUGCAUGAAGCCCUGGGUUCGAUUCCUCAGUACCA